This 76-nucleotide transfer RNA is filed under the name Acidobacteriota bacterium. RNAcentral describes it as "Acidobacteria bacterium (activated sludge metagenome) tRNA-Arg". It matches the Rfam family "tRNA". Rfam says of the family: Transfer RNA (tRNA) molecules are approximately 80 nucleotides in length. Lineage: Bacteria; Pseudomonadati; Acidobacteriota. RNAcentral also lists the same sequence under 1 other name. The record is from RNAcentral.
GGGUCUGUAGCUCAGUAGGAUUUAGAGCGUAGGUUUCCGAAGCCUAAGGUCAUAGGUUCAAAUCCUAUCAGACUCA